ACAUCAGCUUCCCCCAGGCUCAGCUUUACACCACACACUCCAAAAUGCAUCUGCCAGAGCUCUCCCCAUUGGAGUGAGCACCAUUCCCUGCCAUCACUCCUCCUGUGUCCCCAAGGUUCUUUAUCCCUUUUUAAACCUUGUUCCUUCCCUUCAGACCCAUGAAGGAGCCUCCAGCCAGGCAGAUACCACAUCAGCAAAAAAAAAUAAAAAUCUUUCAUUCUCUUUUUAUUGAUGGAAAAAUGUUCUUGCAUCUUCUCAGUGGGAUAUAAAAAGCUCAAGUGCCCAUCAUGCCACCAAGGCUACAUACCCACCCACAACCCAGUGGCCAUCAGAGCCUGUGAAAUCAACUUGUCAAAUGAAGGAACAUUUUAAGGACCAGCAGUUUACUAUGCAAAACCUGCAAAUUUUUGAGCAGUGAAGAGUUACCAUUGUUUUUUAAGCAGUAAUGCGGGCAUUUUUAG
This is a long non-coding RNA of Passer montanus (Eurasian tree sparrow), 461 nucleotides long. RefSeq lists it as uncharacterized. The record is from RefSeq and is a predicted model, not a curated record. NCBI's taxonomy places the organism in Eukaryota, Metazoa, Chordata, Aves, Passeriformes, Passeridae. The transcript has 2 exons.